This 520-nucleotide ribosomal RNA is filed under the name uncultured bacterium. Its description in RNAcentral is "bacterial SSU rRNA". It matches the Rfam family "Bacterial small subunit ribosomal RNA", at positions 120 to 674 of the family's 1533-position model. The record is from RNAcentral.
GGGAAUCUACCCUUUGCUACGGAAUAACUCAGGGAAACUUGUGCUAAUACCGUAUGUGCCCUUCGGGGGAAAGAUUUAUCGGCAAAGGAUGAGCCCGCGUUGGAUUAGCUAGUUGGUGAGGUAAAGGCUCACCAAGGCGACGAUCCAUAGCUGGUCUGAGAGGAUGAUCAGCCACACUGGGACUGAGACACGGCCCAGACUCCUACGGGAGGCAGCAGUGGGGAAUAUUGGACAAUGGGCGCAAGCCUGAUCCAGCCAUGCCGCGUGAGUGAUGAAGGCCCUAGGGUUGUAAAGCUCUUUCACCGGUGAAGAUAAUGACGGUAACCGGAGAAGAAGCCCCGGCUAACUUCGUGCCAGCAGCCGCGGUAAUACGAAGGGGGCUAGCGUUGUUCGGAUUUACUGGGCGUAAAGCGCACGUAGGCGGACUUUUAAGUCAGGGGUGAAAUCCCAGAGCUCAACUCUGGAACUGCCUUUGAUACUGGAAGUCUUGAGUAUGGUAGAGGUGAGUGGAAUUCCGAGU